GCUUCGCGCUUUGACCCUCCGCGCGGCCCGUUGCCGGCCGCGGCGGCGGGAAGAUCCGAGGGGCAGCCGCGCCGCCGCCUCUCUCCGCCUGGGCGCGCCCGGCGCGAUGGAAGAGGCCGAGGCCGACGAGCAGCAGCAGUUCUCCUACCAGCAGAGGCUGAAGGCGGCCGUGCACUACACCGUUGGUGGGCUCCUUGAGGAGGUGGCUGAGGACAAGGAGGUGACGUUCAGCAGACAGACCAUCGCCGCCAUCUCGGAGCUGACGUUCCGGCAGUGUGAAAAUUUCGCCAAAGACCUGGAAAUGUUUGCAAGACACGCGAAAAGAAGCACCAUUAACGCCGAGGACGUGAAGCUGUUGGCCAGGAGGAGCAACCCACUGGUGGCGUCACGCUCAGCCUUCCGAGCCCCCGUCCCAGACUCGUCUGCUCUUAUUAUGUUCAAUCACGCGGCUUUGUUCCCCGGCUCCUGCCGGCUGCCGGCGUGACGGGGAGGAAGCGGUUCUUCAGAACCAGCCCGCGAUCCAGCCGGCCCGCCCCGCGCCCGUCACACGCCUGCCCGCGCGUCAGCUUAGGUUCAUCCCGGUCCAGACGCUUUUGUGCCGACUCGGGCGUCUGCGUCACUGCCCGUGCGUGCCGGGAAAGAGGGGCCCGGCCCCCCGAGCCGGGCAAGUACAAAAGGCCCAGCUGCGGGCGCCGACACCCCUGCACCCACAGAGCACCGGCUCCCGGACGCCGAGAGCUGGGGCGCAGGGCCGGGCAGCCCCGAGAUGCCUCUGCCGCUGGCCCCCGCGCUGUCGCUGCUGCUGCUGCUGCUGCUGCAGGUCUCGGGGGGCCUGUCCCGGGAGGGCGGCCUCGCCGGCCCCAACGGCGCGCAGAUGCCGGACGUGGCCGAGCGGGAGCCCGCCAGCCUGCCCGCCUUCCUGGCCUGGUGGCACAGGCAGGGCCCCCGGGCCGAUGCAGGCCCCUCCUGGCAGACGGCCAAGCGGCAGGACAGCCUGCCCCCCCAGCCGCCCCCGCGCCCCGCGAAGCCGCUCUGCAGAAACUUCUUCUGGAAGACCUUCUCCUCCUGCAAGUAGCCCCCGCCCGCCCGCACAGCCCAAUAAACGCCCGAGCAGCUGUGGUCUCUC
RNA transcript from Sorex araneus (European shrew), 1126 nucleotides. It is a transcript of the gene named centromere protein S, with no coding region annotated. The record is from RefSeq and is a predicted model, not a curated record. The transcript has 6 exons. Lineage: Eukaryota; Metazoa; Chordata; Mammalia; Eulipotyphla; Soricidae.